CACUCUUCUCUACCGUUGUGUGCAGUGCGAAGUGCAACGUCAACAGCAACAUCCCAGCAAAUAAAUCUGCCCGCCAGUGGUCAAUCCUAUGAGCUCCUGGUGCAGCAAUUUUAAUUGCACGCAGCAGAGGCGGCAACGGCAACGGCAACGCCAGCAGGAAGAGCAGCAGAAAAGAAGGGAAUGCAUGGCACAGUUUACCCGUGGUAUAUUUUGUGAAGUUUCACGAAAAAAUGUCUGCCUGGUCGGGUAGAAGUGGGGGGUGCAGCCCUCCCAGCCAACCCAGCCAGCAGCUCUGACAGUUCAAUUAUGCGCGCGUAUUGAAAAACUGCAUUCCCAUUUCCCGCAGCCCACCAGUUUCCAUUCCGCCCUGUCCACCCAUGCCCCUCCCCCACGCAUGCAAAUUUGCCUUCGCAUCAGAGAAAGGAAAUGAGAGAAAGAACAAGAAGGGGAAAAAACACUGAACUGUACGCAUUCCGAUGUGCAGCAGGCCAUGAAAAUGUGAAUGGUGGCAGAACUCGGUCUCCACAGAAGCACAUACAUAUCUGUGGCCCACACAUAUAUGGUCCACACACUAUAUAGCGAAAUAAAAGCAAUAUCUACAUGAUGUUCGAAGGUUACACACAGUUUUGUACGGUAUUUAUGUGUGUUUACCUUUCUCCCUCUCUGUCUCUCUCUCUCUCAGCCAGAUGAGUGUGUGCACGAGUGUCUGAGAGCAUAAAAAUUAAUUAAGCAACUAAAUGUGAUUUUAUAGCAUAUAAGCAUAGAACAAAUUGAAAAUGAUUGCAACCGAAAGAGAAGAAAAAUAGAGAGAGAGAGAGCGAGGGAGGGAGAGAGACAGAGAGUAAUGAAAAUCUCGCAUGAGAGAGUGAGGUGGGAGCUACAUGGGCCCCCACUAUGAGGAAAUUAAAAAUGUAUUUAGACUAACAGUCGGCUGAAUUAAAUGUGUGCAAAUGGAAACAACCACAAAACUAAAACAUAUCAUCCAAAUAGAGUGCAUAAAUAUGUAUGCGAUGCUCCAUCAAUGCAGCACAACAUAUACACACAUAUGUACAUACAUAUGUACAUAUGUAUUUACAUAAUUGAACUAAUGCCAUUUUUACAUCAUGUUAUAUAUCGGUGGCUAAACCAACCAUGAAAUCGAAACAUAUCAGCUGCAAUCGUCAGCGCAAAAAUAUACACAACAAACCAAAAAGAAAAUCUAUAUACAGAUACAGAUAUAUUAUUAUUAUAUACAAACAUAUCUUAGCGUGUAAGCAUCAAAUUAAUUGUAAAUGAUUUUGAUUUGGAACUAGUCUUUAGCGUGCGAUGUGUCAUGGAAUCGUCUUAGACAGAACUUUUAGCAGAAUACAAACAAACAAACAUACAAAAAAACAUAUCUUAGAUUAAUGAUGCACUGCCUAAACCAAAGAGAACAACAAAAAAACAAGCCUAGAGUUAUCUUAAUAGAUGAGUAAACUGCACCCACAUAGUGCGUAAGUUUAUUACGGAUAGUUUUUUAAUGCAUUUUUAGCCAGAUUAUUUUGUAUUCCUAAAGAGCGAACUCUACCUAUAGAUAAUCCUAAAAUAUACACAAACAAACAAACAUACAUAUCAGCGGUUUAGCUAAUGUUUAAACAUUUCGUAUGCAUAUCAAAACUCAGUGUGAACUACUUAGGAUAACACUCUACAUGGUAAUCCAAUUUCCUUUUAUAUCCCAGAUAUACAUACAUACUUACAUAAACGCAGACAUACUCGUAUGAAUAGAGGUACCUCCCCCCCUUUGGUUCGUGUGCCAGUGUUAAGGGAUCUUCAGCACAGAACUCGACUAGCGCUUAAAAGCAGUACUUAACAGAACAGGAAAUAGACUAUGAGAUUUAUAAGCCUUGUUUAUACAGACAUUUCCUUAUACACGAUAUGUAAUUGUACCGUACUAUCCCCCCCAUGCUGAUCUCUCAAUGACAAAGGAACCACGAAUGGAAUGAAACUAACCAAGCAAUAUCAAUUCAAAAGCAAGACUGAAGGUCCUCCGCAGAAUGUUUUACUCUUAUUUGUUUGUUACAAAAUGAUUUAUACUCGAUUCUGGAAAAUACAACCAAGCAAAAACCAAAAUAUUAUAGCAAAGACAACGAACAUUUCUAAUUUGUUUAUAUUUUUAUACAGAGAAGAAAGAAACGCAUGAAGAGAACCUUAACCAGAAACCGAAUGGAAAUCUCAACCAUUUCCAUUUUCAAAGUAUAUUAAUUAUAGCAAACAAAUUAUAUAUAUACAUAUAUAUAAUAUAUACGAGUAUAACUUAAGAGCGAUUUGUAGUUGCAUUUUGUCCUCGAACUUAAACUUGAACUACGCCAAUUGCAUACCAAAUACAUAUCAAAAGUAUAACUCAACUCUAGAUCCUCCAUUGAUAUUGAUAUAUUGAUAUUAUUGAUGUAUUGUCUACUUAAAUUGAACGUGCAAAACUCAAAAACUAUAAUGUACCUUAAAAAUCAACUCUAUUUCUUUAACUUUAACUUUAACUCUAACUAUAACUCAAAACUCUUUGCAACUUAUUCAAACUUUCAAUGUACAUAAAUACAAAAAGUAUUAA
Drosophila subobscura is the source of this 2563-nucleotide long non-coding RNA. RefSeq lists it as uncharacterized. The record is from RefSeq and is a predicted model, not a curated record. Lineage: Eukaryota; Metazoa; Arthropoda; Insecta; Diptera; Drosophilidae. The transcript has 3 exons.